RNAcentral lists this transfer RNA (69 nucleotides) under Comatermes perfectus. Its description in RNAcentral is "tRNA-Gln". The record is from RNAcentral. Lineage: Eukaryota; Metazoa; Arthropoda; Insecta; Blattodea; Kalotermitidae.
UAUAUUUUGGUGUAUGGUGCACGGGAAUUUUUGAUGUUUUUGGUGUUAGUUUGAUUCUGACAGGUAUAU